RNAcentral lists this ribosomal RNA (453 nucleotides) under uncultured Prevotellaceae bacterium. RNAcentral's name for it is "bacterial SSU rRNA". It matches the Rfam family "Bacterial small subunit ribosomal RNA", at positions 341 to 792 of the family's 1533-position model. The record is from RNAcentral. Lineage: Bacteria; Pseudomonadati; Bacteroidota; Bacteroidia; Bacteroidales; Prevotellaceae.
ACGGAAGGCAGCAGUGAGGAAUAUUGGUCAAUGGGCGGAAGCCUGAACCAGCCAAGUCGCGUGAAGGAUGAAGGUAUUAUGUAUUGUAAACUUCUUUAGACGCAGAGAAAUAAGGGCCUCGUGAGGCUUGAUGCUAGUAUGCGUAGAAUAAGGAUCGGCUAAUUCCGUGCCAGCAGCCGCGGUAAUACGGAAGAUCCGAGCGUUAUCCGGAUUUAUUGGGUUUAAAGGGAGCGUAGGCGGGCCUUUAAGUCAGUGGUCAAAGCGUGUGGCUCAACCAUACCACGCCGUUGAUACUGGAGGCCUUGAGUGCACAUAAGGAUGGUGGAAUUCAUGGUGUAGCGGUGAAAUGCUUAGAUAUCAUGAAGAACUCCGAUUGCGAAGGCAGCUGUCCGGGGUGUAACUGACGCUAAUGCUCGAAAGUGCGGGUAUCAAACAGGAUUAGAUACCCUGGUA